GGAACACUGUAGUGAAGGAAAAGGCAGCAAACAUUUGAAAACAUGGAGGAUAAGUUACAAAUACUGAAGUUCGACAAGCCGUGGUAUGUUAUGGUGGAAGACCAUGAAAUGUGUCAGAGCAUUUUUGACGAUCUUCUUGAAAAAGUGGAUAGAGAGAUUGCUAUCAAAAACAAACUGGACGCUCUAAUGGCAAGAGCGCAGGAAAGGCAAAGGAGGUAUGAAAUUCUCAAGUUUGAUAGACCGUGGUGCGAAAUGGUG
Long non-coding RNA from Saccostrea cuccullata (small rock oyster), 258 nucleotides. RefSeq lists it as uncharacterized. The record is from RefSeq and is a predicted model, not a curated record. Lineage: Eukaryota; Metazoa; Mollusca; Bivalvia; Ostreida; Ostreidae. The transcript has 4 exons.